GCUAGGACAUGGGGCUCACUGUGGAAGCUGACACCCAUUCCAUUGGCAUACAUCACCCUCAGGGUACCGUUAUUACAGAGCUGGUAGCUGUUCCGCACUUGAUCUGGAGAAAUGCUGCAGGUGAGAACUUCAGGCCAAGAACCAGGUGUGGCACAGUGAUGAGAAGUAAAUCCUACCUGGGCCACAUCCAUGCUGGAGUCACAGCUCAGUGGCCGGACAGCAGUGAGGUCAUUGGAGCCCAGCAAAGUGGAGAUGAUUCCAUUCUGGUCAACCUUCCGGAUCAUGGUGGCAUCAACAAAGUACAUGAGUCCGUUCUUGUCCACUGCAAUACCUGAUCAAGACAAACAGCGAACGUGUGUCUCUUGACAAGGAGUAGGGCUUGUGGGGGUGGAGGUGGGGAUGCCCUAUUGGGCAUUAGCUUCUUGAUCUUCUCGAACUCGGGAACAUACUGGAUGGAUUAGCAGACCUAGAGCAGUGGCUCUCAGCUUUUUAAGCUGACAGCUCCUGGCUCAAUUACUUGGGGAACACCACUGAUUUCGGACUCUUCCUGGCCAUUGAAAAAUCUACAGAAGAAUGCUUGAAUUCUCUGACCAGCAAUGUGGCUGUCACAUGACAGAGGUGGCAACAGGUCAAAGAGGUCUUUUGGCUAAUGAAAGAUGGCAAAUAGUUUCCCUCUUGAGUGCCAAUACUGAUUGAUUAGUGAUGCCUGCCAGGAGCACAGAAGUAGAAGGAUUCUGAAGCCAAAUGCCAAUCAGCUGUAACAAGUGCUGGGGCUCAUUUGUAAUGUCUGCUCUGGGUGUGGGAGGGAACCUGGUGCCACCUGUGCCACCUAUAUGUUAUUGGUGCAUCACAGGGUAGAGUCAGUACCAUCCAAGACAGCCUCUUCCCAAAUCCAUCUGCAGUUUGGCAAACAUUCUGUUGAACCCUGAGAGUCUCAACCGUUUCCUAUCCCUGUUCUAUGACACCUUCCCUCUCCCUAACUCAAUUUGCAUGUGUGGGGCCCCUUGUAUGCAUUCUUUCCUACAGAUAACAUUCAUACAUGAAAUUCAUAGAUAUUAAUAUUCUCUAUAAUUGGAGCCAAAGACUCCAUUUACCAUUUCUUUUUUGGAAAAGUGGUAAAAGUGUUGCUGUUCUUUUUUUUAAUUUUAAUUUUAAUGUUUAUUUUUAUUUUUGAGAGAGAAUGUGUGAGAAGGGAAGCAGCAGAGAGAGAAGGGGGACAGAGGAUCUGAAGCAUUUUUUUAAGAACAAAAAUACAUGUCAAUUUCAACAGGAAAGAGGCUAGAAGUUAAUAACAUUAGGGCAAAGAGGAGAGAUGCUAAGGCCUCAAGUAAAGAGAACUGCUUCUCAUUCCUGAGACUUCUAGGCCAAACUGGAAGGAGUCUCUAACCCCCUCUUUCCCUCCUGGCUGAGGGAGGAGGCUUCAGGGGAGGGACAAAGAGAACUAAUGCCCUGAUUCCUGCUUAGGUGCAGCCUGGGCCUCUGCCAGGGGCCAUGAUUAGUGGUGGGUUUGCACAGGGAUUACAUUUUUAUAUUUUAUUCCAAUGUGUUAGUUUUCGUUAAAAAAAAAGUUAAUUAAAUGAUGCUGAUAACUCCUGAGCUCUGACUGACAUAGUGCAAUUUAAGAUUCAUUCUGCAAAGCCUGGUGUGUCAGGGUGGCAGCCGGGAAUUCUCGCGUCUAUUUUAUAUUGCUUAAUGAAAGUGAAAUGUUAUCUGCCACCAGUGGUAGUCAUAUUUGGCUCUUAAUUAUUGCAAUAUCAAUUCCAGUGUUUUAGUCAAGAUUUUGUGAAAAGACUGGAUGGGAUUUGGGUCUGCAGACCUGACCUACUUCUUUCCUAAGAACAUGUGCUUUAAGUUGAUUAAUAUAAUAUCUAUGCUGGGGAAAGGAGAAGGGCAGGAGUGGCAGACCAAGUCACUGAGGGUACAGUCCAAAUGAUCAUAUGGAUAUGAGCUUUGGAGACCAACUGAGGUCACCACUAUUCCAGUCCAAGGCCAUUGGCAGCAUGGGUACUUAGUAGCCAACAAACCAAAAUAAUGGCAUUGAGUCAAUCGAUGUAGAUCAGCACAGGUGCCUUACAUGCAAAGGACAGGCCAAGGCUUUGUGUUUGCAAUAAUGCAAACCCUUUAGGCACAGCCUUCAAGGGCAGAGUGGUGUCUCAGAUUCAAGAAGUGAGAUGGCUUAGCUCAUCAACAUUUGAGACUGUUGCCUCCUUCCCUUCCAACUCCCUCUGUGCCACAGAAUAGGGUGGUAUUGGAGUGGCCACAGUUUGUUUGUUUCAGUUCUAAUGAAAGAGAAGUUAGCUGGGAUAAAUUCAGUUUAGGGGGGACAUGCUUAUGUGUUAAUUAGUUAAUUAACAUGCUUAAAUUAGUUUUAGGGGGACAUGCUUAUGUGGCUCAUAUGUGGUCCUUUCAUUAUCUAGUUAGAUUACUGCUAGUGUUGGGGUGCCUGGGUGGCUUGGUCGGUUGAGCGUCCGACUUCGGCUCAGGUCAUGAUCUCACGGUCCGUGAGUUCAAGCCCUGCG
Leopardus geoffroyi (Geoffroy's cat) is the source of this 2519-nucleotide long non-coding RNA. RefSeq lists it as uncharacterized. The record is from RefSeq and is a predicted model, not a curated record. Lineage: Eukaryota; Metazoa; Chordata; Mammalia; Carnivora; Felidae. The transcript is spliced from 3 exons.